AUUGAACGCUGGCGGCAGGCUUAACACAUGCAAGUCGAGCGGGGGAAGGUAGCUUGCUACUGGACCUAGCGGCGGACGGGUGAGUAAUGCUUAGGAAUCUGCCUAUUAGUGGGGGACAACAUCUCGAAAGGGAUGCUAAUACCGCAUACGUCCUACGGGAGAAAGCAGGGGAUCUUCGGACCUUGCCCUAAUAGAUGAGCCUAAGUCGGAUUAGCUAGGUGGUGGGGUAAAGGCCUACCAAGGCGACGAUCUGUAGCGGGUCUGAGAGGAUGAUCCGCCACACUGGGACUGAGACACGGCCCAGACUCCUACGGGAGGCAGCAGUGGGGAAUAUUGGACAAUGGGGGGAACCCUGAUCCAGCCAUGCCGCGUGUGUGAAGAAGGCCUUAUGGUUGUAAAGCACUUUAAGCGAGGAGGAGGCUACUUUAGUUAAUACCUAGAGAUAGUGGACGUUACUCGCAGAAUAAGCACCGGCUAACUCUGUGCCAGCCGCCGCCGUAA
This 501-nucleotide ribosomal RNA is filed under the name uncultured bacterium. RNAcentral describes it as "partial 16S ribosomal RNA". It matches the Rfam family "Bacterial small subunit ribosomal RNA", at positions 30 to 523 of the family's 1533-position model. The record is from RNAcentral.